This 4961-nucleotide ribosomal RNA is filed under the name Triticum aestivum (bread wheat). RNAcentral's name for it is "partial small subunit ribosomal RNA". Lineage: Eukaryota; Viridiplantae; Streptophyta; Magnoliopsida; Poales; Poaceae. The record is from RNAcentral.
UGCCUACCAUAGUGUUUGUGUGCGAGACAAAAGGGUAGCCGGCGCCACCCAAACCAAGCAUAAAGGACGGACGGAAGGAAGGGUCAAAACAAAGCGUUGUGUAAGAGAGUAGAGUAGACACCUAGCAGAGCGCGAGGGAGGGGGGGCGAAGCGACGGAUCCCAAACGCGGCUCGUCUAGGCCGGCCGCCGCCGCCGCGGCGGCCUGCUCGACUGGCCGGGGCGGCGUGCCCCGGCGUCGGGCUGGCGAGGCUGUGGCCGCCGAAGGAGGCAGCUAGGCUAGGCCGCCGCUCCUACAGAGGCGGCGGCCGCAGCGGGCGCGACAGCCGCGUCUUCGACUGGUGGUUGCUGCGCGAGCGGAUGGAGUUCCGGCAGUUCCUGUUCAAGGUGCUGUUGGCGCGGUUCAUGCUGCUCAAGGAGCUCCAGUACGCGCUGAAGUUCUCGCGGUCCUAGCUGUGCCGCCCGCAGUAGUAGGCCCACUUCUGCGAGAAGUCGCCGAUGGGCCUCGAGUAGGAGCCGAAGUUGCGGAAGGACGGGUUCCCGAAGCGGUAGUUCGAGGUCCUGUAGCUGCCGUGGCGGCCGCUGUUCUUCGUCGGGCAGCUGAAGUACCUCCGGUAGUUGAAGCAGUUGUUCUAGUUCCGGUCCAAGGUCCGUGUCCUGGUGCAGAUGUUCCGUAAGGAGCGGUAGGAGUUGUACAUGGCGUACGUGUUGUUCAGGUAGGUCCUGCAGAUGGUCCUCCAGCGAUGCGACAAGGUGCUGGUGGGGCUGGACGAGCUCCUCAAGUUCGUAAAGAACGGACUAUGCAGGUUGCGAGGCGUUCACGACCGACGAGGAUUUCGGCAAAGGCGGUUUGUCCUCUGGCGCCGUCACGGAAGACGGUCACGGUCCUUACACGUCUCGUAGUUCUCUCUCUCCGGAGUCGGUAGUUGACGACUCGCACUGUCGUCACAACUAGCGGGACUAGAGCUCGUACUGGGGCUGUCCUUCGCACAGCUGUUCCUUUUCCUAGCAUUCUAGCUGGCCCUGUCUUUUCUAGUACUGUUCCUACGACUCAUGCUUUCGUUUCUAAACCUGCCUCCCGAUGCGUUCGCGUUUCGAAAGAGUUUCUUCGACCUCCCACUUUGUGUGGUUCCCCGCCGUUCGUAGAGACGAAGCAGCAUGUUACUAUUACUACGUGACUUUUCACGUAUGUGUGUUCUCAAGGAAAAGACACUCUUUCAGUUCCUCUUCGAUCUCGGACUUCGAAUGGUCCUCAAAAACUUUACGGAAGUGUAUAUGUCAGUCCUUUAUUAAUGUUCUUCACUUAACUUUUUAGACCAUGUACUGUAUGAAGUCGCGAUGGGUCUCGAAUACUGACCUAAAUCGCUCAAGAACCUUGUAACACUUUUGUAUCUACCAAAAGACCUACCUCAGUAGUUAUUUUCCGUUUGUAGUGCUUGUCAGUUCCGUAACCUUUUUCUCUCUCUGUUUCCCGCACGUCCCCUCCUGUCCCUUUCUCUACGACUUUUUGGCUCGCUUUUCCUUGCUCUUUCCGAACUAUUUCACAGACGCGAGUUAAGAUUCCUUCGGUGAUAGGUGUUUCGAUGGUGCAAGAGACGCUUUCUCUUCAUAGAUACGUUCGGUUAUAGUCUCGAACUGGAGAGUUUGACAGUCGCCACGUGAGGGUCAAUGGCUGAAAACGGAUUUUUAAUGGGGCACGGACGAAGUUCAACGUCUUGACUGGAACCUUAGAGACACGAGUUACUAGUGACCCAUAGUCAAUGGAGUCCUUCGCUUCUAAUAAGUAAAUUUGUGUACGCCUUCUUAGUCAUGCUUCUUUCGAACAAAUCUACGCUUCUACUGUCCAAACUCAACCUGUACGACGACCUUAGUCAAUUACACCGCUAAUUCGCACAACUCCUCAACUAUCUUUUUUACGUUCUUUUAAGUUAGUUUGGUCUGUCGGGAUAUGCGUAGCUACUUGUAAACUGGAGAGACUUAAACUCCACGUAUCUUGCCGAUAUACCACUGGUACCGGAACUACAGUACCUACAAGAAGCAUUUUUACGCUCACACCGUAAUGGUCAAUAAAAUUGAUCCGAAUUCGUUUUCGUCCUCCUUACCAGUUCCACGGCCAGUCUAAAAUUAUUCCAAACCCGACUUUAUAUACGGUUCUUAAUAGUGUUCAGGGAACUGGUAGCGUCAAAGAUAAAGUUUGUUGUUCUAUGCUUCUUAGACUCGUGUUCUCGAGAUAACAGACUCUAGUUUCUUUAAUUACUCUUCUUUUCCUUCCUCCUACUACACGAAGAACGAUAACGACGACCCUUAUCCGCCGGUUAUCAAGGGUUAUACAGUAAACUCAUACAUCUAAGUCUUUAAGUACUUCUACAAAUAGUCUAGUAGUUCAUGAGAACACCUCUUCAGACGUCGAGAGGUCUAGUUCAACUGUUUCACUACUCUUGGACCUGCUGUAAACACCUUGGAUAAAACCCUCAAGUUGGGGCUUGAGGACGGCAACUUCUACGUUCACACCAUUUUAGCUUCUCGGCUUGGGGAUGCUGACCAGAACGUUCACGUCCCCUUUCAUUAUUACAUUAUGGUUUGCCACGUCAGUGACAAUUCGUUCGGUUGGCUCUACUUUCGUAAGGCUUCCUUGUUCGUGUUAGAAGAGCACCAAAUAACCGCUUACCUCAAAGUCUUCUACGAGUUUUACCGAAGGUACUACGACUAGCUUGACAGGCGUCUCCACUCCCCGGUAGAUUGUACAGUAAUGUAGUCUGACUUGUCUUAGUCGCCUCUUGUUUAUACCUCGAAUGUAGUCCAUGAUUAAGAAGAUCUCUAUUAAAGAGGCCUUCACUCCGACAACAACUUCGAUACCCACCGUUACUUUGUUAAGGUAGAUAUCCCUCUCCUCUUCGACCCUCCGGUCCUAGACACGGAGUCUUCUUAAGUUUCCAACUUUCUCUUCUCCCUCUUAAUAGAGGAUUACCCCUAAAACUUCUCCUAUUAAAACCCGGAGAUCCUUUACGUCGACAUCUGCCUCGAAGCUUCGGCUUCCUUCAAAGGCGACCAUCUUGAUCUCGUCGACUCAAACGACCUCGCUUACUACGACUACGUCUACUACUUCCACUGCUUUCACGGGUCUCUAGAUGUCUUUCACUUUUACGUAGACUCCGACCGCUCCUGCGAAGACCAUCACUUAGACCACUGCCGCUCCUCACAAGAGCCCUUCUAUUGCUCCUGCUUCUCCUACGACUAGUACUACUAGGACUACGAUUCCAACUUUCACUCCCACUCCGUCUCCCUUUGUGUCUCCGUGUACUACGGCUGCCUCCCUACAGUGAUGGCAAAAGUCUCGCAAACGUAUUAUGUCAAUCUGGUGAGCGGUUCGUACAGGGGUGUCGAAACGUCCUAGUACCGCCCUUCAAAAGUGCGUAUAAAAUACCUUUACUAAGUAAAAUACAAGACAAGUCCGAUGUGGUCUAGAAUAUGCUCUCCGAUGAUAGUCGGUUCUGUUUGAGAAGAUGUCGACUUUUCUUCACCUCUUGAAGGUUCCUAUGCUCGAGGGGUGUGGUUAUGAGUUUCAAAUACCCACGUGAAAUAUUGAACUAACUACCGAGAAGACUGUUGUGGUUUAAGCUCCUACUGACGGCAAGUUAGUAGCCCUGAGUCAGGAUACAAGAAAAAUGUAAUCUAUUCGACUAUAUGUUUCAACACUUCGUCGAAGUUCGUUAUCGUCGACUACUUUACCUAUUGUUCGACGAGGUCGAAAUAUAUAUACUCUUCAGGUCCAGAGGACCUUCCAAGAAACUAGAUCAAAUGGUACUUUUACGAGCCCAAGAAGAGGUACUGCUCUCGUAUAUAGCUAAACUUGCCGCGAGUUUAGGAUGCUCUAAUAGACAAGUCGAGUACCUCAUACCCGUACUUUUCGGACUUCAUUGACGUCAGAGUUAACUAGGUUUGAAAAGCAGUAUAGAAAUACUGCUCAUGAACAGUUCAUAAAGCCUAAGUUUCCACAGACUUCUACACAAGGAACUCUCCUUAUUCGCCUUUGCGCCCUCGUCGUUACCGGGAGUUCGAAGGAACCGCCAGUACCUACCAAAGUUCCAGCGCUUACCGGAACUUACGUUCUAUUGGACGUUUAGGAGUUUCCAAAGCAUACAGGAACUAUGUCUUCUGAAAAAUAAGGCAUACUCCUUGUCCUCCUCUUAGAGUAGACCACGUUGGCGGCGGCGGCGUGGACCGUUCCGGCUAAAACAGUUCCGUCGACUACAGCACUUUCGUGUCGCCAAAGUAUUUAAAGAAGAAAGAUCGGUACCAUAGUAGAUUAGACCUCUGCUGCGACCGUACGAAACUUGUUUACGCCACCCACCCAUUGGUUUCGACGAAAACUUGAAAAACCAUGUCGGAAAACCUUCUUCUACUCCACCACGGCUCAUCGACCCUGGCGACCUCGACCAUUUAUGGUUCGUUAGUUUCGUACAUCCGUCAGAACAACAAUUCAACAAUGGGCUACGACGACGACCCUUACACAUAUAAUAAUUACAAUACAUUAUGGGUCUUCUCUUACACUGCAGCACAAUAGGUACUCCCUCCCUCCCUCCAAUAACAAUAAUUAGAGUGGCCACCAGGCUAGUUGACUAGCAACAAUCAACAAUGACAGGUAUACAAACAAACAAACAACAACAGGACAGAGCGACAAUGUAAACGACAGCACCACUUCGUUUACGUCUGAACUAAGUUCAGACCUGUAAUGAUAUAAACAAUCACUACGGUCGGUAGACGUAAUUGACCUAACACGAGGAUCAUCAUCCAGACCUAGUAGUAUACUAAUUCAAACGACAUUGAAACCAGAACGUACCAUCGUCAACAUCAUUUUCGUACCCCGACCAUAUUUUAUGUACGUAAUACGUAUUACUGAAGCGUCUCUCGUACACCGUAUUCACAUGCUUUAGGGGUUAGUUAUUUGCUUUAUACAUAUACC